This 1452-nucleotide ribosomal RNA is filed under the name metagenome. Its description in RNAcentral is "bacterial LSU rRNA". It matches the Rfam family "Bacterial large subunit ribosomal RNA", at positions 1219 to 2667 of the family's 2925-position model. The record is from RNAcentral.
AAAUGCAUGGUAGGGGAGCGUUCUGUAAGUCUGUGAAGGUGUCUUGUAAAGGAUGCUGGAGAUAUCAGAAGUGCGAAUGCUGACAUGAGUAGCGAUAAAGGGUGUGAAAAGCACCCUCGCCGAAAGCCCAAGGUUUCCUGCGCAACGUUCAUCGGCGCAGGGUGAGUCGGCCCCUAAGGCGAGGCAGAAAUGCGUAGUCGAUGGGAAACAGGUCAAUAUUCCUGUACCGAUUCUAGAUGCGAUGUGGGGAGGGAGAAGGUUAGGUCAGCCAACUGUUGGAAUAGUUGGUUUAAGCGUGUAGGCGUGCCCCUUAGGCAAAUCCGGGGGGCUUAGCUGAGGCGUGACGACGAGGUCUCUUUGAGACCGAAGUGAUUGAUACCCUGCUUCCAGGAAAAGCCACUAAGCUUCAGUCUAGAAUUGACCGUACCGCAAACCGACACAGGUGGGCAGGUAGAAGAUACUAAGGCGCUUGAGAGAACUCAGGAGAAGGAACUCGGCAAAUUGAUACCGUAACUUCGGGAGAAGGUAUGCCCUGGUAGCUUGUAGGAGAACAUCCGAAGGGCGACGGGGCCGCAGAGAAUCGGUGGCUGCGACUGUUUAUUAAAAACACAGCACUCUGCAAACACGAAAGUGGACGUAUAGGGUGUGACGCCUGCCCGGUGCCGGAAGGUUAAGUGAUGGGGUGCAAGCUCUUGAUCGAAGCCCCGGUAAACGGCGGCCGUAACGAUAACGGUCCUAAGGUAGCGAAAUUCCUUGUCGGGUAAGUUCCGACCUGCACGAAUGGCGUAACGAUGGCCACACUGUCUCCUCCUGAGACUCAGCGAAGUUGAAGUGUUUGUGAAGAUGCAAUCUCCCCGCGGCUAGACGGAAAGACCCCAUGAACCUUUACUGUAGCUUUGCAUUGGACUUUGACGGGACUUGUGUAGGAUAGGUGGGAGGCGCUGAGACCAGGACGCUAGUUCUGGUGGAGCCGUCCUUGAAAUACCACCCUGGUGUCGUUGAGGUUCUAACCUAGGUCCAUCAUCUGGAUCGGGGACCGUGCAUGGUAGGCAGUUUGACUGGGGCGGUCUCCUCCCAAAAGGUAACGGAGGAGUACGAAGGUCUUCUAGGUACGGUCGGACAUCGUACUGAUAGUGCAAUGGCAAAAGAAGGCUUGACUGCGAGACCGACAAGUCGAGCAGGUGCGAAAGCAGGUCAUAGUGAUCCGGUGGUUCUGUAUGGAAGGGCCAUCGCUCAACGGAUAAAAGGUACUCUGGGGAUAACAGGCUGAUUCCGCCCAAGAGUUCACAUCGACGGCGGAGUUUGGCACCUCGAUGUCGGCUCAUCACAUCCUGGGGCUGUAGCCGGUCCCAAGGGUAUGGCUGUUCGCCAUUUAAAGUGGUACGUGAGCUGGGUUUAAAACGUCGUGAGACAGUUUGGUCCCUAUCUGCCGUGGGCGCUGGAUAUUUGAGG